GCUCUUGUAGUCUAGUGGCCAAGGAUUCCGCCCUCUCACGGCGGCGACCCGGGUUCAAAUCCCGGCAGGGGCA
This 73-nucleotide transfer RNA is filed under the name Nanobdellota archaeon. RNAcentral describes it as "tRNA-Glu". It matches the Rfam family "tRNA". From Rfam's summary of the family: Transfer RNA (tRNA) molecules are approximately 80 nucleotides in length. Lineage: Archaea; Nanobdellati; Nanobdellota. The record is from RNAcentral.